CCCACACUCACUGCCCUUCUUCCCACAGCAAAUCUAUUUCAAGGACAGUACUUUUUAAAAUGAUUAAUGUUGAGUUCUCAACUAGCUCUGCAGAACUAGAGGAGCUGUUUGCAUCUGUCUGUGCGGAUGGAGUUUCUUUUAUCUGACACCAGGUCUCCAACCACACUGAAACAAGGCAUUUAUCUACAGAGCUCAACUAGAACCCCUUUUCAUUAGGCUACUCCACUUCCUUCCCC
Molecule: long non-coding RNA, 236 nt
Filed under: Homo sapiens (human)
Lineage: Eukaryota; Metazoa; Chordata; Mammalia; Primates; Hominidae
Description: HSALNT0014998
Source: RNAcentral